UUCUUUAUGCUUUUCCCCCAGAUUUUCUACAGUACACAUGAACUGCUCACAUAAUCUGGAAUAAACAACAUGUUGAUGAAAAUAUGAAAAUUCAUACAUAUUCAAGAUGGCUUCAUGUAGUCCACUGAGCAACCUAGAAUGUAUCAAAGAUUAACUUUCAAAACACCUGGACAAUUGGGAAUUUGACUUCCAAAAGCAAUCUUUUGUGUCCUUGCACAUUUUAUUAUAAUGGAUCUUUAGCUCUUUACCAACCAGCCCUGUUGCACUUUCAGUUAAAACUAGUAAUGGAAACUGUACCUUCCACAUGAAGCAAGAGAGCCCAGUUAUGACUACAGAUAUUAAGAUAAGGGACCAGUUCAUGAACCCUCUACUGAUAGGGCGGUUGUGUCAUCUGGAGGACAUUUCUCCUCAAUUUGAUCUGACAAAAAGCUGGAUGUCAAAUUCUUAGAUAAACAAUACCAAGUUCCUGUGGGGGAAGAGCCAGUCAAAUAGGAGAUACUUGUUCUUGGCAUAAAAGUUUAUACUUAAGAAUUAGCUUAUCGCGUUUCACAGCUCACUGUAAACUAAGAGGGGUGGGGAGGAAAGGGUCAGAGACUGCUCUAAUUACCCUCAUUUGAGUAAGUAGAAUGAAAUGAGGUUUCCUAGGGUAAUUAAUCAAGUCAUGAUGAAAAGGGAUUACAUGCUGGACAUUAUUUUUGGUCAGGGAUUUGGUGAAGACUGCCACUGCCCCACAAAGGACACUGUCAUUGGUCUGGCUGAAGGUUCUCACUUAGGAAAGAACGUAUAGUAAUGCAAGGCUCAGCAUUGAAAAUAAAGGCUUAAGGAAAACAGCAGCAAUUAUCUGGCAUUGCUCUCUCCAAGUCUUGGCUUCAAUUCUUGCUGGUAAUAAGAGGCUUGCAAGUUUCUACGGUGUGUUGGGUGGAAACGGUCUAUGCCUGGUGAUUUUCACAAACAGAUGAAUAUACUCCUAUUUCCAAGCAUGCGAUUCAGCCACUUGGACUCCAGCAAUAACUGCCACCCGUUUCAAAGGAACUGGUGUAAUGCAGUCCUUAUAUCUGAGCUCAGAUCUAUUACGAAAAUCAAGCUGCAUGUUUUUCCAGGUGCUACCAUCUUGGAAACAAGGCACAAGGGGACCAAAAAAUGUGUUUCAGAACCUAAUGUGAAAGCCUCCAAUUAGGCUCUUUUUUAAUCUAGUUAUUGCAAGCUGUUUUGGCUAAAACCCGAAUGCACUUAAAUGUCUUCCAAGCCUGUAUGUUUGCUGCUCUUACUACUGAAGUGUUAUUUUGAAAAUGUUCAAAA
This 1299-nucleotide long non-coding RNA is filed under the name Marmota monax (woodchuck). Lineage: Eukaryota; Metazoa; Chordata; Mammalia; Rodentia; Sciuridae. The record is from RNAcentral.